AGGCGUGAUGACGAGGCACUACGGUGCUGAAGUAACAAAUGCCCUGCUUCCAGGAAAAGCCUCUAAGCAUCAGGUAACAUCAAAUCGUACCCCAAACCGACACAGGUGGUCAGGUAGAGAAUACCAAGGCGCUUGAGAGAACUCGGGUGAAGGAACUAGGCAAAAUGGUGCCGUAACUUCGGGAGAAGGCACGCUGACACGUAGGUGAAGUGAUUUACUCACGGAGCUGAAGUCAGUCGAAGAUACCAGCUGGCUGCAACUGUUUAUUAAAAACACAGCACUGUGCAAACACGAAAGUGGACGUAUACGGUGUGACGCCUGCCCGGUGCCGGAAGGUUAAUUGAUGGGGUCAGCGCAAGCGAAGCUCCUGAUCGAAGCCCCGGUAAACGGCGGCCGUAACUAUAACGGUCCUAAGGUAGCGAAAUUCCUUGUCGGGUAAGUUCCGACCUGCACGAAUGGCGUAAUGAUGGCCAGGCUGUCUCCACCCGAGACUCAGUGAAAUUGAACUCGCUGUGAAGAUGCAGUGUACCCGCGGCAAGACGGAAAGACCCCGUGAACCUUUACUAUAGCUUGACACUGAACAUUGAGCCUUGAUGUGUAGGAUAGGUGGGAGGCUUUGAAGUGUGGACGCCAGUCUGCAUGGAGCCGACCUUGAAAUACCACCCUUUAAUGUUUGAUGUUCUAACGUGGACCCGUUACCCGGGUUGCGGACAGUGUCUGGUGGGUAGUUUGACUGGGGCGGUCUCCUCCUAAAGAGUAACGGAGGAGCACGAAGGUUGGCUAAUCCUGGUCGGACAUCAGGAGGUUAGUGCAAUGGCAUAAGCCAGCUUGACUGCGAGCGUGACGGCGCGAGCAGGUGCGAAAGCAGGUCAUAGUGAUCCGGUGGUUCUGAAUGGAAGGGCCAUCGCUCAACGGAUAAAAGGUACUCCGGGGAUAACAGGCUGAUACCGCCCAAGAGUUCAUAUCGACGGCGGUGUUUGGCACCUCGAUGUCGGCUCAUCACAUCCUGGGGCUGAAGUAGGUCCCAAGGGUAUGGCUGUUCGCCAUUUAAAGUGGUACGCGAGCUGGGUUUAGAACGUCGUGAGACAGUUCGGUCCCUAUCUGCCGUGGGCGCUGGAGAACUGAGGGGGGCUGCUCCUAGUACGAGAGGACCGGAGUGGACGCAUCACUGGUGUUCGGGUUGUCAUGCCAAUGGCACUGCCCGGUAGCUAAAUGCGGAAGAGAUAAGUGCUGAAAGCAUCUAAGCACGAAACUUGCCCCGAGAUGAGUUCUCCCUGAGACUUUAGGUCUCCUGAAGGAACGUUGAAGACGACGACGUUGAUAGGCCGGGUGUGUAAGCGCAGCGAUGCGUUGAGCUAACCGGUACUAAUGAACCGUGAGGCUUAACCUUACAACGCCGAAG
This 1402-nucleotide ribosomal RNA is filed under the name Salmonella enterica subsp. enterica serovar Berta str. SA20103550. RNAcentral describes it as "bacterial LSU rRNA". It matches the Rfam family "Bacterial large subunit ribosomal RNA", at positions 1559 to 2925 of the family's 2925-position model. The record is from RNAcentral. Lineage: Bacteria; Pseudomonadati; Pseudomonadota; Gammaproteobacteria; Enterobacterales; Enterobacteriaceae.